GAUGAACGCUGGCGGCGUGCCUAAUACAUGCAAGUCGAGCGAACAGACGAGGAGCUUGCUCCUCUGACGUUAGCGGCGGACGGGUGAGUAACACGUGGAUAACCUACCUAUAAGACUGGGAUAACUUCGGGAAACCGGAGCUAAUACCGGAUAAUAUAUUGAACCGCAUGGUUCAAUAGUGAAAGACGGUUUUGCUGUCACUUAUAGAUGGAUCCGCGCCGCAUUAGCUAGUUGGUAAGGUAACGGCUUACCAAGGCAACGAUGCGUAGCCGACCUGAGAGGGGGAUCGGCCACACUGGAACGUGGACACGGUCCAGACUCCUACGGGAGGCAGCAGUAGGGAAUCGUACGCAAUGGGCGAAAGCCUGACGGAGCAACGCCGCGUGAGUGAUGAAGGUCUUCGGAUCGUAAAACUCUGUUAUUAGGGAAGAACAAAUGUGUAAGUAACUAUGCACGUCUUGACGGUACCUAAUCAGAAAGCCACGGCUAACUACGUG
This 497-nucleotide ribosomal RNA is filed under the name uncultured bacterium. RNAcentral's name for it is "partial 16S ribosomal RNA". It matches the Rfam family "Bacterial small subunit ribosomal RNA", at positions 28 to 507 of the family's 1533-position model. The record is from RNAcentral.